Molecule: ribosomal RNA, 301 nt
Filed under: uncultured bacterium
Lineage: Bacteria
Description: partial 16S ribosomal RNA
Rfam family: Bacterial small subunit ribosomal RNA
Source: RNAcentral
CAGCCGCCGCGGUAAUACGAAGGGGGCUAGCGUUGCUCGGAAUUACUGGGCGUAAAGGGCGCGUAGGCGGAUAGUUUAGUCAGAGGUGAAAGCCCAGGGCUCAACCUUGGAAUUGCCUUUGAUACUGGCUAUCUUGAGUUCGGGAGAGGUGAGUGGAAUGCCGGGUGUAGAGGUGAAAUUCGUAGAUAUUCGGCGGAACACCAGUGGCGAAGGCGACUCACUGGCCCGAUACUGACGCUGAGGCGCGAAAGCGUGGGGAGCAAACAGGAUUAGAUACCCGUGUAGUCCCUGUCUCUUAUAC